This 322-nucleotide ribosomal RNA is filed under the name uncultured eukaryote. Its description in RNAcentral is "partial 18S ribosomal RNA". It matches the Rfam family "Eukaryotic small subunit ribosomal RNA", at positions 1470 to 1796 of the family's 1831-position model. The record is from RNAcentral.
CCCUUAGAUGUUCUGGGCCGCACGCGUGCUACACUGAGUAAAUCAAUGGGUAAGGGAACACGAAAGUGCAACCUAAUCUUGAAAUUUGCUCGUGAUGGGGAUCGACGGUUGCAAUUUUCCGUCAUGAACGAGGAAUACCUUGUAAGCGCGGGUCAUCAUCCCGCGCUGAAUACGUCCCUGCCCUUUGUACACACCGCCCGUCGCUCCUACCGAUUGAGUGGUCCGGUGAGGCUUUGGGAUCUGAGCGGAAAGAGCGUUUCGCUGUUUCUGCUCGGAAAACUCAGUCGAACCUUAUCAUUUAGAGGAAGGAGAAGUCGUAACA